AGGACGAACGCUGGCGGCGUGCUUAACACAUGCAAGUCGAGCGGAAAGGCCCUUCGGGGUACUCGAGCGGCGAACGGGUGAGUAACACGUGAGCAACCUGCCCUUAGCUUCGGGAUAGCUCCGGGAAACCGGAAUUAAUACCGAAUAUGACUUUGGCUGACAUCAGCAGAAGUGGAAAGUUUUUCGGCUAGGGAUGGACUCGCGGCCUAUCAGCUAGUUGGUGAGGUAACGGCCCACCAAGGCGACG
This 247-nucleotide ribosomal RNA is filed under the name uncultured bacterium. Its description in RNAcentral is "partial small subunit ribosomal RNA". It matches the Rfam family "Bacterial small subunit ribosomal RNA", at positions 26 to 278 of the family's 1533-position model. The record is from RNAcentral.